Molecule: ribosomal RNA, 356 nt
Filed under: uncultured Anoxybacillus sp.
Lineage: Bacteria; Bacillati; Bacillota; Bacilli; Caryophanales; Anoxybacillaceae
Description: bacterial SSU rRNA
Rfam family: Bacterial small subunit ribosomal RNA
Source: RNAcentral
ACAGGGUGACAGGUGGUGCAUGGUUGUCGUCAGCUCGUGUCGUGAGAUGUUGGGUUAAGUCCCGCAACGAGCGCAACCCUCGACCUUAGUUGCCAGCAUUCAGUUGGGCACUCUAAGGUGACUGCCGGCUAAAGUCGGAGGAAGGUGGGGAUGACGUCAAAUCAUCAUCGCCCCUUAUGACCUGGGCUACACACGUGCUACAAUGGGCGGUACAAAGGGUCGCGAACCCGCGAGGGGGGGGCCAAUCCCAAAAAGCCGCUCUCAGUUCGGAUUGCAGGCUGCAACUCGCCUGCAUGAAGCCGGAAUCGCUAGUAAUCGCGGAUCAGCAUGCCGCGGUGAAUACGUUCCCGGGCCUU